GUGCGUGCCUGACAUCUUUCUCCCGAGGGUAGAGGUGUGGUAUGGAUGACCACCAAAACCCUUCGAGGGCAGCAUGGCUCUAGCCCUGGGGCUACAGAAACAAAAUAGAUGGGGCCCUCAAGUAGCUCACAGUCCAGCAGGGGACCAACAGGAGGCAGACGGCUAAAAAGCAGUGUGACAAGUGCAACAACAAGAGUGGUGAAAACGGGGAGCCCUGGGAGUGCAUGGCAGAGCAGAGUUCUGAAGGAUGAGAUGUAGCUAGAUCUAGAUGGAACAUUAGAGAAAAGAUGAUCCAAGGAAGAAACAUCAACGACAAAGCAAGACAACUCUGGCACAUUGCAGAACCAGCAAAUAGUUUUAUGCAGGUGCAGUGUGAAGUUUAAUGACAAUUUUUAUCUCCCAAAUGCCUCAAAUUCAUCCACUUUCUCCAUCUCCAACGCCAAACCGUUUCAUAAGUUAUCAUCACCUCUUGCCUACACUACACAGGCAUCUCCCAAGUGGUCUUCCUGCAUGCGUUUUCCCUGCUUUGUAAUUCAAUCUUCAUAUUGAAGCCAAAAUAAUUUUUCUUAAAUAUACAAACUCAAUUCCCA
This is a non-coding RNA of Microcebus murinus (gray mouse lemur), 590 nucleotides long. NCBI's taxonomy places the organism in Eukaryota, Metazoa, Chordata, Mammalia, Primates, Cheirogaleidae. The record is from RefSeq and is a predicted model, not a curated record.